Molecule: unclassified non-coding RNA, 1376 nt
Filed under: Leishmania donovani
Lineage: Eukaryota; Euglenozoa; Kinetoplastea; Trypanosomatida; Trypanosomatidae
Description: gene:LdHU3.36.8930(CDS-product:hypothetical_prote in_conserved)
Source: RNAcentral
AAGUCGAGGCGGGCAAACCAGCGUCACAUUGCAACACGCCAAGAAGAUGAAUCGCGAGCAGAUUGCCCGCCGCAUUGACCUUGUCGGUCCCUCCACCGGCGCCAUCGUCGGCGUCGCCACGUGGUGUGCCCUGCACGGUGCCGAGGCGGACGCCAUUCUGAACUACGUAGCGGAGAAGAUGAAGCACAAAGAUACAACGGACGCGCAGCGGGCCUCACUGGUGUAUGUGAUUCACGAACUGCUGCUGAGUUGCGCUACCCGCGGUGUCUCAGAGAACGCAAAGCGCUCCAUCCUCAAGGCCGUGAGUCUCACCCUGCCAAGCGCGGUGAAGGACACGCUGCGGCAGAGAGCAAGCGAUCACACGGCUUUCCUGAUCGCCUUGCAGAAAGCAACGGAGUGGUGGAGUAUGCUGAACCUGUUCCCGGCGGCCUGGCUGACAAAGCUGCAGUGCACCGUUCAGGAUGGGCAAGAGAGCGCCGGUCACCGCACUAGCGUCCCCUCUGCCUUGAUGCAGGUUGCCAAUCUCCUGCAGCGCUACCAGCAUGCUAAGGAGCAGUGGGUGCAGAACAGGAACAUCAAAGCAGAAGAGGGGCGCAGUGGAAGCGGGGCGGCGAGUGGCCAAGACACCGCAGCGCCGCUGGCAGGCGGGGGUGCAGGCGCUAGCAGUGCCGUUGUGGACGAUGCGGCAAGGCGAUGCCUCAUCGCCUUGAGGAAAGCCGUGGAGAGUCGCUUUGAGAAAAAUGCGGCAUUGCUCGCGUGGUGCGAAGCAGAGCGUGCGGAGCUUGAGGGUCGCACCACCACCUCAAGCGCAGGCAGUGGUGUAGUGAAGAUGGCGCACGGCACCUCGCCUCAUGUGCCGACGCACGGUGGGUCAGGUAGCAGCUAUCCAGUGAAGGAGGAAGGCGGCCACGGUGGCAGUCAGUCGGGAGGGCCCAAUGACGACGAUGAUGUGCUUGGCUCCUUCUUCUCCUGAUACAUCGAUUAGGGGGUCACGCAGUGCGCCUUUUGCGUGUGUGUGUUCCUCUGUUCGUAAUGACCGGCGUGUUGGCCCCGUGCGAGCAGCGGGAGCCAACGUCGCGCCUCGCCCUUCUCCGUUUCUCUUGCAUAACAGGCAAAGGUUCUCAGCACAUGACAUUCUGGGUCGGUGUGUAUUAUGUGCAUAGGGGUGAGCCUCGAUGGACACCGGCGUCGCCCUAACGCUGCCACGCGCAAAGGAUAUUGCUCUCCUACUUGGGACCUGACGGCCCCUUCCCUUCCCUUCCCUUCUCUACACCCGCGGCAUAUGCGAGCAUGCUAUCAGGUCUUUCUUUUCUAUCGGCUUCCACGUUCUCUGCAUCCACCUUCCCUCCUCUUCGCCCCAUCCAUCAACAACACAG